GUGGGGAAUAUUGGACAAUGGGCGAAAGCCUGAUCCAGCAAUGCCGCGUGAGUGAUGAAGGCCUUAGGGUUGUAAAGCUCUUUUACCAGGGAUGAUAAUGACAGUACCUGGAGAAUAAGCUCCGGCUAACUCCGUGCCAGCAGCCGCGGUAAUACGGAGUGAGCUAGCGUUGUUCGGAAUUACUGGGCGUAAAGCGCGCGUAGGCGGCUCAGCAAGUCAGGGGUGAAAUCCCGGGGCUCAACCCCGGAACUGCCUUUGAAACUGCUAGGCUAGAAUCCUGGAGAGGCGAGUGGAAUUCCGAGUGUAGAGGUGAAAUUCGUAGAUAUUCGGAAGAACACCAGUGGCGAAGGCGACUCGCUGGACAGGUAUUGACGCUGAGGUGCGAAAGCGUGGGGAGCAAACAGGAUUAGAAACCCUUGUAGUCC
RNAcentral lists this ribosomal RNA (425 nucleotides) under uncultured bacterium. Its description in RNAcentral is "partial 16S ribosomal RNA". It matches the Rfam family "Bacterial small subunit ribosomal RNA", at positions 354 to 796 of the family's 1533-position model. The record is from RNAcentral.